Molecule: ribosomal RNA, 484 nt
Filed under: uncultured bacterium
Lineage: Bacteria
Description: partial 16S ribosomal RNA
Rfam family: Bacterial small subunit ribosomal RNA
Source: RNAcentral
AUUGAACGCUGGCGGCAUGCUUUACACAUGCAAGUCGAACGGAAGCGCGGGCUUCGGCCUGGGGGCGAGUGGCGAACGGGUGGGUAAUGCAUCGGAACGUGGCCAGUAGUGGGGGAUAGCGCGGCGAAAGCGGGAUUAAUACCGCAGACGAACAGUGGGUGCAAGCGGGGGACCGAAAGGCCGCUCGCUAUUGGAGCGAGCGAUGUCGGCUUAGCGAGGUGGUGGGGUAAAGGGUUACCCAGGCGACGAUCCUUAGCUGGUCUGAGAGGACGACCAGCCACACUGGGAGUGAGACACGGCCCAGACUCCUACAGGAGGCAGCAGUGGGGAAUUUUGGACGAUGGGGGCAACCGUGAUCCAGCCAUGCCGCGUGCGGGAAGAAGGCCUUCUGGUGGGAGAACGCUGUUGUUCUUGAAGAAAUACUCUGGGCUAAUACCCCGGGAUGAUGACGGUACCGGAAGAAUAAGCACCGGCUAACUACGUG